CCGAACCGACUAAUGUUGAAAAAUUAGCGGAUGACCUGUGGCUGGGGGUGAAAGGCCAAUCAAACCGGGAGAUAGCUGGUUCUCCCCGAAAGCUAUUUAGGUAGCGCCUCGUGAAUUCAUCUCCGGGGGUAGAGCACUGUUUCGGCUAGGGGGCCAUCCCGGCUUACCAACCCGAUGCAAACUGCGAAUACCGGAGAAUGUUAUCACGGGAGACACACGGCGGGUGCUAACGUCCGUCGUGAAGAGGGAAACAACCCAGACCGCCAGCUAAGGUCCCAAAGUCAUGGUUAAGUGGGAAACGAUGUGGGAAGGCCCAGACAGCCAGGAUGUUGGCUUAGAAGCAGCCAUCAUUUAAAGAAAGCGUAAUAGCUCACUGGUCGAGUCGGCCUGCGCGGAAGAUGUAACGGGGCUAAACCAUGCACCGAAGCUGCGGCAGCGACACUGUGUGUUGUUGGGUAGGGGAGCGUUCUGUAAGCCUGUGAAGGUGUGUCGUGAGGCAUGCUGGAGGUAUCAGAAGUGCGAAUGCUGACAUAAG
Molecule: ribosomal RNA, 535 nt
Filed under: Salmonella enterica
Lineage: Bacteria; Pseudomonadati; Pseudomonadota; Gammaproteobacteria; Enterobacterales; Enterobacteriaceae
Also listed under: 1 other name
Description: partial 23S ribosomal RNA
Rfam family: Bacterial large subunit ribosomal RNA
Source: RNAcentral